GUGGGUUCAAAAAACAGGACAAGGGAACAGAUGAAAAUGCUUUUGGCAGUCUAAUGCUGCAUGGGUUUUCUUUUGCUGGGAGCUCUGCCGAUCCGUGUGAGUCUAUCAUGAUGGUUGUCCUUUUCCUUUUUAGCAUCUCUUUCUAUUGGAAACUUAAUUAGGUUUAGCCAUACAAAGUUUGCUGAUCUCGUUUCUGAAGAGUUGCGACGUGAGUUUCCUGGGCCAGGUCUAAGAUGCCAUUGGUUGCAAUAGAUUAUCCGCACAGCCCAGAUUGCUCAAAUGCAGCCCCGAGGUUGUCCCAGCUCUAGCUUCCUACUUCAAGCUGUGUUACAUGAUCGUUGUAAACUCCGACAUGCUUGAUGUUGUCGUACCACCCGUCCGUGCGUCGGCGGAUUCAUUUCGAAUGCAAGUAUCGCACAGAAAGAGGCGAAGGCGUCGUAAUUUCAAUUUGAGCUCAAUUAAUUAGACUUUGCGAAACACAUAGAUUACGGCGGAUUGUGGAGCAUCGAAAGCAAUUCGCAUCAACAGGUUAGGAGUCUUUUUGCAUGCAGAGUUUAAAUUUUUAAUCUAAUCGUGUCGUUCAAAAGAAGGGGCGCGACGGAGUUGGGGCAUUCGUGGGUUUGAAGGCUGUCAGGACACAAGAGUGCAGCUCACUUAUCUUGUAUGGCUUGUGGUGUUGCCGUCUCCAGUUGUGAUAAGCGGAAACUCGGAGAUGGGGUUUAGAGAACACGUUCUCUAAAGCCAAAUUCACAAGUGGUGCUUGUCAUUUGUUGUUAAUCAAGAAGGCUUGACUUGCGACGGUGAAAAUUUGUUAAGCCAAUGCGGUGUUCCUGGCCGCCGUUAAGUCCCAAAGAAGGCAUCCGAAACACCACGAUUUCCACGAGGAACAACUGUUGAGACACCCACCUGCUUCUUGUGUUUAUCUUCGCAAGUUGUCAGUAGUUCAUGCAUUUUUGACACAAGGGUGAGAGUGGAAGGAGAACCGAUUAAUUGCCGCACGCGACCUGUUGCAGGAGAUCCCGGAAUUUCAGUGUGCAAGGUGGAGAGGAUCAAGAAUAAAUCACUUAGGAAUUUAUUCAUUGCAGCAAGGACAGGAAUCUUUAGGAACAGGUUCAAGGAUAGGUGCUUAGAUUUUGAGGUACAGACACAGAAAAACAGUGAUUUUAUGAGGGCUGGGCAACCAAGCUGAGUUUGGUGCACAUGUAAAACACGUGAUUUUAUGGCACUUUCAAAGAGUGAUGACUGGUGACAACCUUCUGACAUGGCUGAUUCAUUAGAAAGGUUUCAUAAUCUUGUAUUAUUCUCCAUUGCUUAACUGUAGUACAAAGUGGAAGCUGAUGGUGAG
Molecule: long non-coding RNA, 1345 nt
Filed under: Physcomitrium patens
Lineage: Eukaryota; Viridiplantae; Streptophyta; Bryopsida; Funariales; Funariaceae
Description: long non-coding RNA (PPAT_LNC002681)
Source: RNAcentral